CAGUCGCCGCGGUAAUACGUAGGGUGCGAGCGUUAAUCGGAAUUACUGGGCGUAAAGCAUGCGCAGGCGGUUGUGUAAGACAGGUGUGAAAUCCCCGGGCUUAACCUGGGAACUGCGCUUGUGACUGCACAGCUAGAGUAUGGCAGAGGGGGGUGGAAUUCCACGUGUAGCAGUGAAAUGCGUAGAGAUGUGGAGGAACACCGAUGGCGAAGGCAGCCCCCUGGGCCAAUACUGACGCUCAUGCACGAAAGCGUGGGGAGCAAACAGGAUUAGAUACCCCCGUAGUCCCUGUCUCUUAUAC
Molecule: ribosomal RNA, 301 nt
Filed under: uncultured bacterium
Lineage: Bacteria
Description: partial 16S ribosomal RNA
Rfam family: Bacterial small subunit ribosomal RNA
Source: RNAcentral